CACAAUAACCUGGGGCCGGAAGGCGGUGGCUCCGUUUCUGGCCUGCACGGCACCCAGCGGAGAAAGCGGCCUUUGCUGGAAACGGGGAUACCGGUUCUUGGGGGUGCUGGUGGACGAGAAGCUGGACGUGAGCAGGCAGUGUGCAGUUGCAGCCCAGAAGGCCAGUCCCAUCCUGGGCUGCAUCAAAAGCAAGACUGUGCACACUACCGACCUUCUGCCAGAACUGUGUCCCGGAUAGGACUGUGUGACAAAGCAGGGUCAGAUCCCAUGAGAACUGCUACCGUUUCUCUGGAGUCACCCUUUCUUCUGCUGUGACAGCACAGGAGGGAUGGAGAGGAUCUGGAGUGCUCUGUGAGGUACGAGGUACGUCUCCGACAUGCGUCUGCAUUUUUCCUAAGGUACUUGUGGUAUGAACUUUGAAGUUAACAUGAAGGAUGUGCCAGCUCUCUUAUACCUUUUCUGUGAAAUAUUUUAACACAAAUACUAAAAAUAAGGUCUGUUCUGGAGCAUGAUUACACCUAUGCAAAUCUUACUUCCCUCCAUUUAUUUUCUCUUCCUGAAAGAUAAUCUCUUUUUGCACGCUAUUAGAUGAUACUGUGAAAACACUUUUGUACUAAAAAAGGGGAAAAAACUGUUCAUAAGAGUUCAGGUGUUCACAUGAAGCAGACUUGCUUUCGUGAUAAAAGCUUUAUGCUUUUUCAGUCAAUACGUCUUUAAAAUACCUUGCAGUAGUACUCAAAAAAUUAAUGGAGAUACUGGCAUCUGUACUGAAAUCAAUUGAGAUCAAAGAAGAGACAUGGACGAAACAGGACGAAUCAGUGUCGCUUCUGUGUGUUUAUCAGGCUUUCCAAUGAAGCAUCAGCAGCCUCAUAACUAGUGACAGUGAGUCCUGAUACGAUUUUGUGAGUUGUUGCUUCAAUAAUGUCCUUUUUCUGUAACCUACAGUAUGUAAUUUUUACUUCAGUUGGAAAGAGAUUUUUCUGAAAUGGGAAUGUUUCUCAUUCAAAGCAGUUGCGUCUUACAAAGUUCCCAUCAGAGCAGAUCUUCAGAGAUGAUGUACUUGACAGUAGAAGUCAUCAGCAACAAGAGUUUGCACUCUCUUAAUAAGACAAAAAAAAUAGCCCCAAGCACAGCACAUCUUCCAAAAGUUGAUGGCAUUGCUGGUCUUUGGGUUCUCAGUUUAACAGCCGAGAUAUCGUAAAAAUGUGUUCCUCUGCGUGUUCAGCACAGCCAAAAGUAUUCAACAAUCUGCCAGUCCUUUUUGAUAGCCUGAUGGACUGCAUCACUGGGAGUUUGAUUCCCCUCCCCAAAAGUAAAACCAUUUUGGGGAUCUCUUACCUAAUCCCUUAUUGGGAAUUUUUCUAUGUGAAACAAAACUUGUAUAAUUUACAAACUGACAUGCAUGGUUUAAACUGCAACUGCCAGUAUAGCUGUUGCAUACAAUUUAUUAAGUGUACUUAAGCAGUUAGAUAUUUGUUCUAAAUCUUUAAGAGAGGUGACAAUAUAUCGGAUUUUUUUUCCCUGAUAGUUAGACAGAGUGCUUUGAAGUACUUUAUUUCUGUCUUGCUUUCAGCGACGUUUCCCCAUCGGUCUGGAAGCAUCUCCCUUGGGCAGUGCAACUGGUCCAAUGUCCCUCCUCAAACGGUUAGCACACAGAAAAGGCCGUAGUCAAAUUAUGACUGUGUGUUUUGGCGAUAGAUAGUGUAAUGGUAUCAAUUCACAGCUGUGCAAGUUAAAUUAGUGCCAAAGGAAAGUCAAAUACUUUUAGAGUAUAAGUACUUUUAUGGAAUGUAUGUAAACAUAGACGCACCCUUUCAGCAUAAGGUGAAUGACCGAGUGUGGGAAAGUAAUGGAAGAUUGGUGAGGAGGACUGUAAACAAGCUGAAGUGACUCGCAUGUGGGCUGCUGGAAAAGACACCUAUCACACUAAUGGUUAUGUAGUUUUGUGUGUUCAACAAGUAGAACAUCUGCACCUAGGUAACAUCAGCCUGGGAUAGACUCAGGGGCACCUUAUUGAACAUGCUUGAGAUUCCUGCCCGGCUGUUGAAGCGAUCGAAGCGCAGCCAGAAACUGCCUGCCGGAAUCCUUGAAAUACAGGCCAGAACAGCAACUGGGAGCUCUCUCCCUCUCUCAGUCCCUUGCUAACAAGGACUCUCUUGCUAAUAAGGACUCUUUCUCCACGAUCCGUGCAUCCCCUGCUUGCCUGGCUCUGCCCAGGUGCUGCUUCAGAGAUUCCCCAAUCCGUGAGGUAUCGAGAUUAAAUUUAUUCUUUGCCUUUAAUAUGUGGGUUUGUGGUUGUUGCUGUGUCCUGCCUGCAUCAGCUCACACACUGAGCUUUGUUUUUUAUUAUUCCUUGGACUUUGCAAGGUUUUACCAUUCCCUCUCAGCUGCACCGACCAAGGAGCGAGGUGAGCAGCAGCAGCAGCAAGGGCUGUAGCUGCAGUGGUGUGUUUGUCAGUGUCGACUCUGGUUUUUUUAGUAUGCUGAACUAUAAUUGGGGAUUUUUUUAUUUUCCAGCUGCCUCAUUGUAUGCGUCUCAUGCUGCUCGAUAGAUGCCCCAGACCAGGUUUGCAGCUGGUGGUGGAGCCCCCUGAGGAGAAGGAGCCAGCCCAGGGUCUCGUCCUUAAGUUCAUUUUUUUUUGGUGAAUAAAAAAAAAAGGGGUGGGGGGCUGGGGUGUGUGUCGGGGGAGGGUGAUGACAUCAUUUGGGGCACCCUGAUGUCAUGUGGGGAGCAAUGAUGCAGUGGAAGAACAGGUGAGUGGGGGUUACAUGGGGUUCCCCUCAAAAGAGGUGGGACAGAGCCCCAAAAUGUCUGAAAAUUAGGGAGGACGUGGGGCGUGAGGCAUUGAACUACAGAACAAUCUCUCAUUUUUACAUAUAUUGAAAAAAUAAUAGUCAUUUCUGUAUAUAAAAGGUGUUCAAAAUAAAAACCUAUUUCUCUAAGGA
Long non-coding RNA from Calidris pugnax (ruff), 2946 nucleotides. RefSeq lists it as uncharacterized. The record is from RefSeq and is a predicted model, not a curated record. Lineage: Eukaryota; Metazoa; Chordata; Aves; Charadriiformes; Scolopacidae. The transcript is spliced from 2 exons.